Molecule: ribosomal RNA, 1491 nt
Filed under: uncultured bacterium
Lineage: Bacteria
Description: 16S ribosomal RNA
Rfam family: Bacterial small subunit ribosomal RNA
Source: RNAcentral
AGAGUUUGAUCCUGGCUCAGGAUGAACGCUAGCGACAGGCUUAACACAUGCAAGUCGAGGGGCAGCGGGGAGGUAGCAAUACUUCCGCCGGCGACCGGCGCACGGGUGAGUAACACGUAUGGAACCUGCCCGUAGCAGGGGGAUAAGCGGAAGAAAUUCCGUCUAAUACCGCGUAAUAACUCCGAGGGGCAUCCCUUGGGGUUUAAAGGGUAACACCGGCUACGGAUGGCCAUGCGGCGCAUUAGCUAGUUGGCGGGGCAACGGCCCACCAAGGCGACGAUGCGUAGGGGUUCUGAGAGGAAGGUCCCCCACACUGGUACUGAGACACGGACCAGACUCCUACGGGAGGCAGCAGUGAGGAAUAUUGGUCAAUGGGCGCGAGCCUGAACCAGCCAAGUCGCGUGAGGGAAGACGGUCCUAUGGAUUGUAAACCUCUUUUGUCGGGGAGCAAAAGACGCCACGCGUGGCGUUCCGAGAGUACCCGAAGAAAAAGCAUCGGCUAACUCCGUGCCAGCAGCCGCGGUAAUACGGAGGAUGCGAGCGUUAUCCGGAUUUAUUGGGUUUAAAGGGUGCGCAGGCGGAAGAUCAAGUCAGCGGUAAAAUUGAGGGGCUCAACCUCUUCGAGCCGUUGAAACUGGUUUUCUUGAGUGAGCGAGAAGUAUGCGGAAUGCGUGGUGUAGCGGUGAAAUGCAUAGAUAUCACGCAGAACUCCGAUUGCGAAGGCAGCAUACCGGCGCUCAACUGACGCUCAUGCACGAAAGUGUGGGUAUCGAACAGGAUUAGAUACCCUGGUAGUCCACACAGUAAACGAUGAAUACUAAUUGUUCGGGGAGAAUGAUCCCUGAGUGAUACAGCGAAAGCGUUAAGUAUUCCACCUGGGGAGUACGCCGGCAACGGUGAAACUCAAAGGAAUUGACGGGGGCCCGCACAAGCGGAGGAACAUGUGGUUUAAUUCGAUGAUACGCGAGGAACCUUACCCGGGCUCAAACGACACAGGAAUACUUUUGAAAGGAGGUAGCUCUUAGGAGUCUGUGUCGAGGUGCUGCAUGGUUGUCGUCAGCUCGUGCCGUGAGGUGUCGGCUUAAGUGCCAUAACGAGCGCAACCCCCAUCGCCAGUUACCAGCAAGUCAAGUUGGGGACUCUGGCGAGACUGCCGGCGCAAGCUGUGAGGAAGGCGGGGAUGACGUCAAAUCAGCACGGCCCUUACGUCCGGGGCGACACACGUGUUACAAUGGCAGGUACAGAGAGAAGCAAUGCGGCGACGCAAAGCGGAACUUGAAAGCCUGUCUCAGUUCGGAUUGGAGUCUGCAACUCGACUCCAUGAAGCUGGAUUCGCUAGUAAUCGCGCAUCAGCCAUGGCGCGGUGAAUACGUUCCCGGGCCUUGUACACACCGCCCGUCAAGCCAUGGAAGCCGGGAGUGCCUGAAGUGUGCAACCGCAAGGAGCGCCCUAAGGUAAAACUGGUGACUGGGGCUAAGUCGUAACAAGGUA